RNAcentral lists this ribosomal RNA (234 nucleotides) under uncultured Enterobacterales bacterium. RNAcentral describes it as "partial 16S ribosomal RNA". It matches the Rfam family "Bacterial small subunit ribosomal RNA", at positions 96 to 334 of the family's 1533-position model. Lineage: Bacteria; Pseudomonadati; Pseudomonadota; Gammaproteobacteria; Enterobacterales. The record is from RNAcentral.
UGGCGGACGGGUGAGUAAUGUCUGGGAAACUGCCUGAUGGAGGGGGAUAACUACUGGAAACGGUAGCUAAUACCGCAUAACGUCGCAAGACCAAAGAGGGGGACCUUCGGGCCUCUUGCCAUCAGAUGUGCCCAGAUGGGAUUAGCUAGUAGGUGGGGUAACGGCUCACCUAGGCACGAUCCCUAGCUGGUCUGAGAGGAUGACCAGCCACACUGGAACUGAGACACGGUCCAG